ACCUGGGUGGUUCAGUGAGUAGAGCAUGUGACUCUGGAUCUCAGGGUUGUGAGUUUGAGCCUCAUGUUGGGUG
This 73-nucleotide transfer RNA is filed under the name Canis lupus familiaris (dog). It matches the Rfam family "tRNA". Rfam says of the family: Transfer RNA (tRNA) molecules are approximately 80 nucleotides in length. Their secondary structure includes four short double-helical elements and three loops (D, anti-codon, and T loops). RNAcentral also lists the same sequence under 1 other name. Lineage: Eukaryota; Metazoa; Chordata; Mammalia; Carnivora; Canidae. The record is from Rfam by way of RNAcentral.